This is a long non-coding RNA of Dermacentor andersoni, 280 nucleotides long. RefSeq lists it as uncharacterized. The record is from RefSeq and is a predicted model, not a curated record. Lineage: Eukaryota; Metazoa; Arthropoda; Arachnida; Ixodida; Ixodidae.
AGGAUUCUUUCGUUUGGAGGCAUUCUGCAUUUCGCCGCCGCCUCACUCGUGGCCUGUUACUUCACGGAGAAGUCUUGCUUGGGGACUCUGGGUACCCGCUAGAGCCAUGGAUCAUGACUCCUGUGCCUGGUCACCCAAAUCGCCUCACGGCAGAGGGGCGCUAUAAUGAGGCACACGCAUCAAUGCGAAAUGCCGUUGAGCGGUGCAUAGGAGUCGUCAAGAGCCGCUUCCGAUGCCUGCAGAGCAGGCGUGCCUCUGCCAGACGACCCAGAUGACGACG